UCCGGCUUAUCACCUGUGUCCAGGUUCCCUUUCGGGCACCGUAUCUCUACGGCUUUUCCCAUGAUGUCAAACCCAGGUAAGGUUCUUCGGGUCGCAUCGAAUUAAGCCGCAUGCUCCGCCGCUUGUGCGGGGACCCGUCAAUUCCUUUGAGUUUUAGCCUUGCGGCCGUACUCCCCAGGCGGGGCACUUAAUGCGUUAGCUUCGGCACGGCAACCGUUGAUCGGGUCGCCACACCUAGUGCCCAACGUUUACAGCGUGGACUAC
This 264-nucleotide unclassified non-coding RNA is filed under the name uncultured Acidimicrobiia bacterium. RNAcentral describes it as "contains 16S-23S intergenic spacer region". Lineage: Bacteria; Bacillati; Actinomycetota; Acidimicrobiia. The record is from RNAcentral.